Punica granatum (pomegranate) is the source of this 609-nucleotide non-coding RNA. The record is from RefSeq and is a predicted model, not a curated record. Lineage: Eukaryota; Viridiplantae; Streptophyta; Magnoliopsida; Myrtales; Lythraceae.
UCAAAAGAGAAAUCAGUAGGUUUUGACGGUUCCUUCCUAGCGAUCGAAUUCCCCCCUUUUCGCCAUCCAGCCAUGCAACUCAGUGAAGUUCCGGCAUAACAGGUGGAAGGCAGCUGGGGAGGAGUUGGGCAGUAGGAAAACAGUAUGUCCAUGGAUUCAGAGGCAGAGUUUUGUUUCGCAUUGGUCAAAUGUCUGGUCCAAAACAAUUGCGCUGUCGACUGUUGGGAAGAACGUCAACUCCAUCUUCGAGGACGAGGCUCCAGCAUGCAGGGUGGAGAACAAGUGGCUUGGGCCAAUGGGGGCCCGGGCUACUCCAUUAGGGCUCUCGGCUCACCAAAAUCCGCUGAUUAACAAAUGACAUGUCCGACAUUUGCAUUCGCGUGCAAUCAAGUUGGAAGCAUUCUACUGCUUACCUUCCAAGAAGGGGUUUGGGAUCAAGGUUAAUUUUUUAGAAGAGUUUAUUACGCAUAUCGCACGAUUACUUACUCAAUAAUGGUAAUUUCAUUAUUUUAGGUUCCAGUUCAUGUUCGAUUUUGCUUAAUCUCCGCUCUCAAUUUCAAGAAUUGAUGCUCAUCUGAGGUAUGCAAUGAAGGUUACAAGGAAUAUUAA